CUCAAAUUCUCAUUCUCAUACUUUAUCAAUUCACACUUCCAGAAUCUUCUGAGUUCUCUCUCUUUGGCAUUCAUAGCAGCAAAAAAUUAGCAUCCAUGGCUACACCAAGUGUACAAGAAGUUUUACCACGAUCACUUGAUUCUACUUCUCAACCCCCGUCUCUCUUCGACGGAACUACCAGGUUAUACAUCAAUUAUAUGUGCCCCUAUGCUCAGCGUGUGUGGAUUAUCAGGAACGUCAAGGUUCGUUUCACUAGUUUAUGAUUUGGCUAGUAUGGCUCAUAUGCUUGCUCCAUUUUUAUAUGCAAUUUUUUAAUAACCGAGAAAUCUCGAGGGCCAGCUGGCUCAAGAAGUCAGUCGAUAGCGUCUCUCUACCCUUCUCCACUUAAAUACUAGGCUUUUGCUUGCAACAAGGUUCAAACAUGUGACGUGAGCCUAAUCCACACAUCACGAGCUAUGCUGUCACAUUAUUAUUGUUUGGAGAACCAAAGUUUUUCUUUUACUAAGAUUAUUUCAAAAACCUUGUACUUUUUAAACUAUUGUGACUUGCAGCAAUGGUACUUUUGAAAUUUCUAAAUAUGCCAAGUUUGAUUUAAAAAAAUUAAAAUUUAACGUCUGAAUUCAUCAAAAUUAAGUGCUCAACCCUUAUCCAAACACCAGAAGCAAGCUACCUGGUAUUCCUCCUUUUAAGUUGUGUAUAUUGCUUCAUUUGGUCUGCCGUGGACUAUC
This is a long non-coding RNA of Nicotiana attenuata, 728 nucleotides long. RefSeq lists it as uncharacterized. NCBI's taxonomy places the organism in Eukaryota, Viridiplantae, Streptophyta, Magnoliopsida, Solanales, Solanaceae. The record is from RefSeq and is a predicted model, not a curated record. The transcript is spliced from 3 exons.